GUCCAGGUUAGCCGAGUGGACAAGGUACCUACCUGCCCGGUAAGCAGAAGGGUGUGGGUUCGAUUCCCGCCCCUGGACA
RNAcentral lists this transfer RNA (79 nucleotides) under Cordylochernes scorpioides. RNAcentral's name for it is "tRNA-Thr". It matches the Rfam family "tRNA". Rfam says of the family: Transfer RNA (tRNA) molecules are approximately 80 nucleotides in length. The record is from RNAcentral. Lineage: Eukaryota; Metazoa; Arthropoda; Arachnida; Pseudoscorpiones; Chernetidae.